GGGCGUAAAGAGCUCGUAGGUGGUUUGUCGCGUUGUUCGUGAAAUCUCACGGCUUAACUGUGAGCGUGCGGGCGAUACGGGCAGACUUGAGUACUGCAGGGGAGACUGGAAUUCCUGGUGUAGCGGUGGAAUGCGCAGAUAUCAGGAGGAACACCGGUGGCGAAGGCGGGUCUCUGGGCAGUAACUGACGCUGAGGAGCGAAAGCGUGGGGAGCGAACAGGAUUAGAUACCCUGGUAGUCCACGCCGUAAACGGUGGGUACUAGGUGUGGGUUUCCUUCCUUGGGAUCCGUGCCGUAGCUAACGCAUUAAGUACCCCGCCUGGGGAGUACGGCCGCAAGGCUAAAACUCAAAGAAAUUGACGGGGGCCCGCACAAGCGGCGGAGCAUGUGGAUUAAUUCGAUGCAACGCGAAGAACCUUACCUGGGUUUGACAUGCACAGGACGCCGGCAGAGAUGUCGGUUCCCUUGUGGCCUGUGUGCAGGUGGUGCAUGGCUGUCGUCAGCUCGUGUCGUGAGAUGUUGGGUUAAGUCCCGCAACGAGCGCAACCCUUGUCUCAUGUUGCCAGCGGGUAAUGCCGGGGACUCGUGAGAGACUGCCGGGGUCAACUCGGAGGAAGGUGGGGAUGACGUCAAGUCAUCAUGCCCCUUAUGUCCAGGGCUUCACACAUGCUACAAUGGCCGGUACAAAGGACUGCGAUGCCGCGAGGUUAAGCGAAUCCUUUUAAAGCCGGUCUCAGUUCGGAUCGGGGUCUGCAACUCGACCCCGUGAAGUCGGAGUCGCUAGUA
RNAcentral lists this ribosomal RNA (786 nucleotides) under uncultured Mycobacterium sp. Its description in RNAcentral is "bacterial SSU rRNA". It matches the Rfam family "Bacterial small subunit ribosomal RNA", at positions 556 to 1340 of the family's 1533-position model. Lineage: Bacteria; Bacillati; Actinomycetota; Actinomycetes; Mycobacteriales; Mycobacteriaceae. The record is from RNAcentral.